AUGGCGGCGACAGGGAGCCCUAAGGGCCUACGGUUCGCUGCAGCGUGCGGCGUUCUCAGCCGCUGCAUCAAGGCGGCGGAGACGCGGCCGGCGGCCACGGUGGUCCUCCCCCUCAUGCCUGGAGCGGAAGUGCCCGCGCAAGACGACCACGAGGCGGGUCCUGCGCCGGCGAACGCGCAGAUGACCAUCUUCUACGGCGGGCAGGUGCUGGUGCUGGACGAGGUCCCGGCUGACAGGGCGGCCGAGCUGCUCCGCGUCGCUGGUGUCUCAGGCACAGCGCGAGGGAACUGCGAGGCGGCGAAUGGCGACCUGCCCAUGGCGAGGAAGGCGUCGCUGCAGCGGUUCAUGGCGAAGCGCAAGGGAAGGCUCGCCGCGCGCGCCGUCCCCUACAGCCGGCCCGACGGCGACGCGUCCUCCUGUAACCGUCUGUCACUUAGGCUCUGA
Molecule: ribosomal RNA, 444 nt
Filed under: Triticum aestivum (bread wheat)
Lineage: Eukaryota; Viridiplantae; Streptophyta; Magnoliopsida; Poales; Poaceae
Description: partial small subunit ribosomal RNA
Source: RNAcentral